GAUCAUGGCUCAGGACGAACGCUGGCGGCGUGCUUAACACAUGCAAGUCGAACGAGAAUCUAUGGAAAGAGGAUUCGUCCAAUUGAAAUAGAGGACAGUGGCGGACGGGUGAGUAACGCGUGAGGAACCUGCCUUUCAGAGGGGGACGAACAGUUGGAACGACUGCUAAUACCGCAUAACGCGUAGAGGUCGCAUGGCCUUUACGCCAAAGAUUUAUUCGCUGAAAGAAUGGCCUCGCGU
This 240-nucleotide ribosomal RNA is filed under the name uncultured bacterium. Its description in RNAcentral is "partial 16S ribosomal RNA". It matches the Rfam family "Bacterial small subunit ribosomal RNA", at positions 15 to 236 of the family's 1533-position model. The record is from RNAcentral.